UGCAAGUCGAACGGAAAGGCCCCUUCGGGGGUACUCGAGUGGCGAACGGGUGAGUAACACGUGGGUGAUCUGCCCUGCACUUUGGGAUAAGCCUGGGAAACUGGGUCUAAUACCGAAUAGGACUCCGGACUGCAUGGUCUGGGGUGGAAAGCUUUUGCGGUGUGGGAUGGGCCCGCGGCCUAUCAGCUUGUUGGUGGGGUGAUGGCCUACCAAGGCGACGACGGGUAGCCGGCCUGAGAGGGUGUCCGGCCACACUGGGACUGAGAUACGGCCCAGACUCCUACGGGAGGCAGCAGUGGGGAAUAUUGCACAAUGGGCGCAAGCCUGAUGCAGCGACGCCGCGUGAGGGAUGACGGCCUUCGGGUUGUAAACCUCUUUCGCCAGGGACGAAGCGCAAGUGACGGUACCUGGAGAAGAAGCACCGGCCAACUACGUGCCAGCAGCCGCGGUAAUACGUAGGGUGCGAGCGUUGUCCGGAAUUACUGGGCGUAAAGAGCUCGUAGGUGGUUUGUCGCGUUGUUCGUGAAAACUCACAGCUUAACUGUGGGCGUGCGGGCGAUACGGGCAGACUGGAGUACUGCAGGGGAGACUGGAAUUCCUGGUGUAGCGGUGGAAUGCGCAGAUAUCAGGAGGAACACCGGUGGCGAAGGCGGGUCUCUGGGCAGUAACUGACGCUGAGGAGCGAAAGCGUGGGGAGCGAACAGGAUUAGAUACCCUGGUAGUCCACGCCGUAAACGGUGGGUACUAGGUGUGGGUUUCCUUCCUUGGGAUCCGUGCCGUAGCUAACGCAUUAAGUACCCCGCCUGGGGAGUACGGCCGCAAGGCUAAAACUCAAAGGAAUUGACGGGGGCCCGCACAAGCGGCGGAGCAUGUGGAUUAAUUCGAUGCAACGCGAAGAACCUUACCUGGGUUUGACAUGCACAGGACGCCGGCAGAGAUGUCGGUUCCCUUGUGGCCUGUGUGCAGGUGGUGCAUGGCUGUCGUCAGCUCGUGUCGUGAGAUGUUGGGUUAAGUCCCGCAACGAGCGCAACCCUUGUCUCAUGUUGCCAGCACGUUAUGGUGGGGACUCGUGAGAGACUGCCGGGGUCAACUCGGAGGAAGGUGGGGAUGACGUCAAGUCAUCAUGCCCCUUAUGUCCAGGGCUUCACACAUGCUACAAUGGCCGGUACAAAGGGCUGCGAUGCCGUGAGGUGGAGCGAAUCCUUUCAAAGCCGGUCUCAGUUCGGAUCGGGGUCUGCAACUCGACCCCGUGAAGUCGGAGUCGCUAGUAAUCGCAGAUCAGCAACGCUGCGGUGAAUACGUUCCCGGGCCUUGUACACACCGCCCGUCACGUCAUGAAAGUCGGUAACACCCGAAGCCGGUGGCCUAACCCUUGUGGAGGGA
Molecule: ribosomal RNA, 1383 nt
Filed under: Mycolicibacterium poriferae
Lineage: Bacteria; Bacillati; Actinomycetota; Actinomycetes; Mycobacteriales; Mycobacteriaceae
Description: bacterial SSU rRNA
Rfam family: Bacterial small subunit ribosomal RNA
Source: RNAcentral